This 253-nucleotide ribosomal RNA is filed under the name uncultured bacterium. RNAcentral's name for it is "partial 16S ribosomal RNA". It matches the Rfam family "Bacterial small subunit ribosomal RNA", at positions 524 to 776 of the family's 1533-position model. The record is from RNAcentral.
GACAGAGGGUGCAAACGUUGUUCGGAAUCACUGGGCAUAAAGCGCACGUAGGCGGUCCACUAAGUCAGGUGUGAAAGCCCCCGGCUCAACCGGGGAAUUGCACUUGAUACUGGUGGGCUCGAGGAUGAGAUGGGUAGGCGGAACUUCAGGUGGAGCGGUGAAAUGCGUAGAUAUCUGGAGGAACACCGGUGGCGAAGGCGGCAUCCUGGACCGGUAUUGACGCUGAUGCGCGAAAGCCAGGGGAGCAAACGGG